RNAcentral lists this long non-coding RNA (1438 nucleotides) under Callithrix jacchus (white-tufted-ear marmoset). Its description in RNAcentral is "lncRNA (ENSCJAG00000079624.1)". Lineage: Eukaryota; Metazoa; Chordata; Mammalia; Primates; Cebidae. The record is from RNAcentral.
AUGUCUUAUUUACUUGAGACAGGGUCUUGCUCUGUCACCCAGGAAAAUGCAGUGUUAUUGAGGGAAUGUAUUCUCUUCCCAGGUCCAAAAGGGAGUGUGGUUUCAAAGGCAAGGCCUUCCCAGUGCCAUACCUCCACUUACUUCUCCAUCCAGGAGCUUAGAGGUCUUUGUUUAACUUUCACGCAUGCGGGAAGAUGGACUGCCCAGGCUACCCUUCUCAAAGAUGAAAAAAAUCUGGAUGGGGUGGCAAAUAAGAAACAGGCCACCUGGACCUUCUUGAAGGGGAUCUCAUUCAGGAAGGCCAUUGGAGGGGCCAAGCAAUUCUUCAGAAGCAUGAUUUAGCUGAAGAAGAGAGAACUUGAAGUGAAUACCUUUAGAAGGUAUUCCCUAUAUCAAUGGAAUUGCAACUGAAAGGUUCUUUAAGAAAAAUGUCUGAGAAAUGUGCAAUGAAAUCUUAUGGAAAAAUCAGUUUGACACCUUGCAAGCCUGUAAGAUUUGAUUGCACGUUCCUCAGUGACAUGACCGGCCACAUGACAACAGUACGUGUCACUAUGCCAGUUUUACCUUGUUUCUCUCUCCUCUCUAAGAAAAAUUCAGAGAUUAGAAACCAUGCCUAACUAGCGGAUGAGAAGAAUAAAUUUAAGGAAGAGAAAAACAAACCAUCUAUAUAUCUUAGAGUCUUUAGAUUUCCAUUGUUUGAAGUUAAACACUUCAUUACUGUGGAGUGUAUCUUAAUUACUAAAUGAGCCUUGUAGUUUCUUGUGAUUAAAAUAAAGCAGAGAAAUAGUCCAGUCUACCUAAAUUUAUUCCAAGUACAGAGAAAACAGUAGUACUAUCCCAAAAGGAGUUUUAAGCACAAUGGGAAAAGCAAUAGAGUUGCUUUGUGACUACUCUCUAUUGAGUUCUGAGGUUUUGUUGUCAUUGUUGUUUUAAUAUACUGACUGAAUUUUUUAUAGCAAUUUUCUUUUUUUUUUUAAUUGCAUUUUAGGUUUUGGGGUACAUGUGCAGAACAUGCAAGAUAGUUGCAUAGGUACACAUGUGGCAGUGUGAUUUGCUGUCUUCGUCCCCUUCACCCACAUCUGGCAUUUCUCCCCAUGCUAUCCCUCCCCAGCUCCCCCCACCGCUGUCCCUCCCCUAUUCCCCCCAGUAGACCCCAGUAUGUAGUGCUCCCCUCCCUGUGUCCAUGUGUUCUCACUGAACAUUAUUCUCAGCAAACUGACACAAGAACAGAAAAUGAAAUACCACAUAUUCUCACUCAUAGGCGGGUGAUGAGCAAUUUAUUUCUUAAGGAAACUAUGAAGUGAGUAGUGACCACUGCCUUUGGCUAGCAAGAUCUGUAACUGACAACCACAUUCUGGCCACAAGAAUGAGUAUAUAAUUUAGACAUCACGCCCCAUACAGUUGACCACAGUGACUGAGUUGGGAAUGGGCAGGUAGC